RNAcentral lists this ribosomal RNA (253 nucleotides) under uncultured bacterium. RNAcentral's name for it is "partial 16S ribosomal RNA". It matches the Rfam family "Bacterial small subunit ribosomal RNA", at positions 524 to 776 of the family's 1533-position model. The record is from RNAcentral.
UACGAAGGGGGCUAGCGUUGCUCGGAAUCACUGGGCGUAAAGCGCACGUAGGCGGAUUGCUAAGUCAGGGGUGAAAUCCUGGAGCUCAACUCCAGAACUGCCUUUGAUACUGGCGAUCUUGAGUCCGGGAGAGGUGAGUGGAACUGCGAGUGUAGAGGUGAAAUUCGUAGAUAUUCGCAAGAACACCAGUGGCGAAGGCAGCUCACUGGGACGAUACUGACGCUGAGGAGCGAAAGCGUGGGGAGCGAACAGG